AUGCAAGGAGUUCUCGGAGACGGAAAUGCAGAUGCACUAUUCCAAAUAGGACCACUGAAAGCCCCAGAACCAGAUGGGUUCCCAGCUAGGUUUUAUCAAAGAAAUUGGGCUGUUUUAAAGGAUUCUGUGGUUGCUGCGGUAAGGCUAUUUUUUCACAACGGACACAUGCCAUCCGAAACAAAUGCAACCGCUAUUGUCUUGAUCCCCAAGUCUGAUCAACCAGAGACAUUGAAGGACUUCCGGCCCAUCAGUUUGUGCUCGGUGUUGUACAAGAUCGUCGCCAAAUGCCUGGUGAACAGACUGCGUCCAUUAUUGGGUGAGAUUGUCUCCUUAAACCAGAGUGCCUUCGUUCCUGGACGUAUGAUGACUGAUAAUGCACUGGUGGCAUUUGAAUGUUUUCACAGUACUGAACACUGCAAGAAACAACAAGACUCCUUCUGUGCAUACAAGCUGGAUCUAUCAAAGGCGUAUGACAGAGUUGACUGGGAUUUUCUUAGAAGAACGAUGCAAAGCUUGGGUUUUGCUCCCCGAUGGGUUGAUUGGAUCAUGUCCUGCGUGACCUCGGUGAGCUAUUCCGUAAAAUUCAAUGGAACCCUACUUGAUUCGAUUUCCCCAACUCGAGGUCUUCGCCAAGGUGAUCCACUGUCUCCGUUUUUGUUCUUGUUUGUUGCUGAUGGUCUCUCUGCACUGAUGCAACAUGAAGCAACACAAGGCACAAUAACUCCUCUUAAGGUAUGCCAGCGAGCACCAGGUAUAUCACACUUGCUUUUUGCCGAUGAUACACUUUUGUUCUUUAAAGCAGAAGUGGGGCAAGCACAUAGAGUGAAGCAUGUUCUGGAAGUGUAUGCUAAAGGUACGGGACAAAUGAUAAAUCCACAAAAGUGCUCAAUCUUGUUCAGCCCGGCAUGUCGGCAAGGAAUUCGGGAGGGUAUUAGGAGUAUCUUGCAAGUCACACAAACCGCCUUCGAAGCCAAAUAUCUUGGCCUACCAACACCCGAUGGCAGGAUGAGCAAAGGGAAACUAAAGAGCCUACAGGAGAAGCUAGCAAAGAGCCUAAUGGAAUGGGGUGAUAAUCAUCUAUCCAUGGCCGGGAAGGAGAUAAAAAUCAAAGCUGUGGCGCAGGCACUACCGGUGUAUAUUAUGAGUGUCUUCAAACUCCCAGUUGGCCUAUGCGAUGAUUUAACACAGAUGAUCCGUCAGUAUUGGUGGGGAGCAGAGAAAGGAAAACGCAAGACCCAC
Molecule: ribosomal RNA, 1239 nt
Filed under: Triticum aestivum (bread wheat)
Lineage: Eukaryota; Viridiplantae; Streptophyta; Magnoliopsida; Poales; Poaceae
Description: partial small subunit ribosomal RNA
Source: RNAcentral